UACAUUUUAGGGCCAUAGGAAUAUCAAUAUAUUUCAACGCUUGGGCGUUUUUCCUUCACUUAGUCUCUUCUUCUGGUGCUUCGCGAUCUUACAUCUUUCAUUUUGUCUCUUAUUGUUUUUUGUUCGCAUCGUUUCCUAAUUUUGAUAUUGGGUCGAUCGAUCAAUCGAUCCUGUGAUCUGAUUGUUUGUAUGCCAAAUCCACACGAUGGUUUAAAAGCUCCACACCAUGGACCAACAGCUGUUUUACUGGAGCAAAAGGAGUUGUCACAGAGAGCUGAAACUAACAUCACAUUUGUCGUCGAUAACUUCACGCAAAACCGAAACGUUUCAAGGCUGCUUAUUGAGCUAUACCAAUUUUCUGGAGUUUCUACCUAUUCGGUUUUCUGUCGGUGAGUGAUCCACCGGUGAAGAACUUGCAGGAAACAUACAUGAUGGAUGCGAGCGUCUAGAAUGAUGGACUACAAAAAUAACAUAGAAAUACUGUUUCACGCUUUUCCGCAGUAUAUGUAGAUGAAAAGCUCACUCAUUUGCAAGGUUCAACCACCUGACACCAUUUUGGAAUUCGUAUUGAAACAAAGAAAUGCAGACCAUGGGGAACAAAGAAACGCAAAGUUUGAUUAAGAAGCUGAAAAGAUCAAUCGACUAUUGCCUAGAUGAGAGAACAUUUCUUUUCUGAUCAACUGAUCAUGCUGUCUCGCAGACUUUUAUUUGGAUUUAGGUUGUGGCUGGUCCAUGUGCCCUCGGGUUGGCUAUGCCACCGGCAAUGCUUGUUGGUACAUCAUUAGAAGCAAGAUGAGGAUUACUUCUUCGUGGUGGUGAUAUUCUUGAAAAAAAAUUUUCCAUUGAUUGUUGCCUUUAACAUAACCGGAACACUGACAAAGGGACACCCUCUUGUGACUGAAGUUAUUAUCCUGAAGAUCCAAGUCUGAAAGAUACUGGGUUAGAAGUUCAGGUUUUGAGGUUAGCAGCUGCUGUUGAAUCAAACACUACUCACCCUGUUGUGAAAGGGAUUGUUAAAGCAGCUUGGGCUCAUAAUUAAUGACAUCACUGCAGGCAGAGGAUGGAACAUUUACUGAGGAGCCAGGGCUGCAGUUGGGACCUAAGAGUGGGUCCAGCGGUAUAAUUUGUUCAUCUUUUGCAUAAGUGGUUAGCUAUUGACCAGUUUA
Eutrema salsugineum is the source of this 1166-nucleotide long non-coding RNA. RefSeq lists it as uncharacterized. The transcript has 6 exons. NCBI's taxonomy places the organism in Eukaryota, Viridiplantae, Streptophyta, Magnoliopsida, Brassicales, Brassicaceae. The record is from RefSeq and is a predicted model, not a curated record.